AUUAUUAUUAUUAUUAUUAUUAUUAUUAUUAUUAUUAUUAUUAUUUUAUUAACUUUUGUUUGAUCACAAGUGGGUAUCAGCACCUGUUUACAAAAUAUAUAAUUAGACAGACUUGGUUUGAUAUAAAUUUAUCAGUUUUUAAAUAGGCCUAUUUCUUGUAAAUAGAAUUGUCUACUGACUAAAAUAGAUCAAAAUCAUGUCCCUAAAACCAUGCUAAAAUCAAGGCAAAUUCAACAAAGGACGCAUAUCUCUGGACGUAUUAAAGGAUAACUAUGGCAUCGAUAUUCUACGCGCCGCGAGCCACUAUAAGCUGAUCGUCACAAAAUCCAUAGUAACCAUCAGUGUGUGACGAAUUACCCACGUGCGUGUGAGUUGCCAUGAUAAUCGCUCGUCGUGCGAUGGUUGCAAAGGACUAAUGAAUUAUUGCAUUAACUUUAGACUGAAAUUAUAUUCAUUAUUUCGGCAUUAAAAAUAGAAAAAAAAAAAUUCUGUAUCUACUUCGUUUUGGGUACGGUACCUUAGUCCGACAUUGUCAAAAUCACAGUUUAAUGUUAUACAUAUAAGAACAUGAUUUUAUAAAAAUCUUAAAUUUCCACUUGCUAUAACUUUUCAUUUUGUGGAUCAAUCUUCACAAAUCAAAUUGUAGUUUAUAGAAGCACUUAACAAGUUCGUGAUCGAAAGAAAUCAGAUGUAACAGAUUGCGAAGUACCAAAAAUUAAUAAAAUAGUAACUAACACC
This is a long non-coding RNA of Anneissia japonica, 738 nucleotides long. RefSeq lists it as uncharacterized. NCBI's taxonomy places the organism in Eukaryota, Metazoa, Echinodermata, Crinoidea, Comatulida, Comatulidae. The record is from RefSeq and is a predicted model, not a curated record. The transcript is spliced from 2 exons.